This 240-nucleotide unclassified non-coding RNA is filed under the name soil metagenome. RNAcentral describes it as "partial contains 5.8S ribosomal RNA, internal transcribed spacer 2, and large subunit ribosomal RNA". The record is from RNAcentral.
AAGACUAUAGACCUGCGGAGUACCUGCGGAAGGAUCAUUACUGCUUGCUUACCGUCUCGCUCGGGAAACCGAGCGUCGACGGGGCAUGCCACCCUUGCCUACGCAUACCCGUUUGUUACUCCCUCGGCGGGGCAGCCCGCCGCCGGGAACACGUAAAACCCCUUUGCAUGAAGCAUCCAACCUUCUGAACAAAACGAAAUAAUCACAACUUUUAACAAUGGAUCUCUAGAUCGGAAGAGC